Molecule: ribosomal RNA, 253 nt
Filed under: uncultured bacterium
Lineage: Bacteria
Description: partial 16S ribosomal RNA
Rfam family: Bacterial small subunit ribosomal RNA
Source: RNAcentral
UACGUAGGGGGCUAGCGUUGUCCGGAAUCAUUGGGCGUAAAGCGCGCGUAGGCGGCCAGAUAAGUCCGGUGUGAAAGUCACAGGCUCAACCUGUGAAUGCCGCUGGAAACUGUCUGGCUUGAGUCCGGAAGGGGCGAGUGGAAUUCCUGGUGUAGCGGUGGAAUGCGCAGAUAUCAGGAGGAACACCGAUGGCGAAGGCAGGUCUCUGGGCCGCAACUGACGCUGAGGAGCGAAAGCAUGGGGAGCGAACAGG